RNAcentral lists this ribosomal RNA (495 nucleotides) under Staphylococcus warneri. Its description in RNAcentral is "bacterial SSU rRNA". It matches the Rfam family "Bacterial small subunit ribosomal RNA", at positions 49 to 526 of the family's 1533-position model. Lineage: Bacteria; Bacillati; Bacillota; Bacilli; Caryophanales; Staphylococcaceae. The record is from RNAcentral.
CUAUACAUGCAGUCGAGCGAACAGAUAAGGAGCUUGCUCCUUUGACGUUAGCGGCGGACGGGUGAGUAACACGUGGAUAACCUACCUAUAAGACUGGGAUAACUUCGGGAAACCGGAGCUAAUACCGGAUAACAUAUUGAACCGCAUGGUUCAAUAGUGAAAGGCGGCUUUGCUGUCACUUAUAGAUGGAUCCGCGCCGUAUUAGCUAGUUGGUAAGGUAACGGCUUACCAAGGCAACGAUACGUAGCCGACCUGAGAGGGUGAUCGGCCACACUGGAACUGAGACACGGUCCAGACUCCUACGGGAGGCAGCAGUAGGGAAUCUUCCGCAAUGGGCGAAAGCCUGACGGAGCAACGCCGCGUGAGUGAUGAAGGUCUUCGGAUCGUAAAACUCUGUUAUCAGGGAAGAACAAAUGUGUAAGUAACUGUGCACAUCUUGACGGUACCUGAUCAGAAAGCCACGGCUAACUACGUGCCAGCAGCGGCCGGUAAUAA